AUACGGAGGGUGCGAGCGUUAAUCGGAAUUACUGGGCGUUAAGCGUGCGUAGGCGGUUUGCUAAGUCAGAUGUGAAAGCCCCGGGCUUAACCUGGGAACUGCAUUUGAUACUGGCAGACUAGAGUAUGAUAGAGGGGGGUAGAAUUCCUGGUGUAGCGGUGAAAUGCGUAGAUAUCAGGAGGAAUACCAGUGGCGAAGGCGGCCCCCUAGAUCAAUACUGACGCUGAGGUACGAAAGCGUGGGGAGCGAACAGGAUUAGAAACCCCAGUAGUCC
Molecule: ribosomal RNA, 274 nt
Filed under: uncultured bacterium
Lineage: Bacteria
Description: partial 16S ribosomal RNA
Rfam family: Bacterial small subunit ribosomal RNA
Source: RNAcentral